This is a long non-coding RNA of Magnolia sinica, 224 nucleotides long. RefSeq lists it as uncharacterized. The record is from RefSeq and is a predicted model, not a curated record. The transcript is spliced from 2 exons. Lineage: Eukaryota; Viridiplantae; Streptophyta; Magnoliopsida; Magnoliales; Magnoliaceae.
ACUAUCAUCAUCAGGACCAACUUGUUUGUUGCCCCUCAUAGCAGACCUGAUGGGUCUUACCCAACACAAACACAUCUUGAAACAGCGGAAAGAAUAUUAUCGAUAGCUGGCAGUGAUCCUUCCAGUAAGCACAAGGAUUUAGACCACGACCCGGUUUCACAGGUUUUCCAUCAAUUCUACUCACUUUACAUACAUUGUCGUUGGUUUUUUUUUAUUUUUAUUUU